GAUGAACGCUGGCGGCGUGCCUAAUACAUGCAAGUCGAGCGAACAGACGAGGAGCUUGCUCCUCUGACGUUAGCGGCGGACGGGUGAGUAACACGUGGAUAACCUACCUAUAAGACUGGGAUAACUUCGGGAAACCGGAGCUAAUACCGGAUAAUAUAUUGAACCGCAUGGUUCAAUAGUGAAAGACGGUUUUGCGGUCACUUAUAGAUGGAUCCGCGCCGCAUUAGCUAGUUGGUAAGGUAACGGCUUACCAAGGCAACGAUGCGUAGCCGACCUGAGAGGGUGAUCGGCCACACUGGAACUGAGACACGGUCCAGACUCCUACGGGAGGCAGCAGUAGGGAAUCUUCCGCAAUGGGCGAAAGCCUGACGGAGCAACGCCGCGUGAGUGAUGAAGGUCUUCGGAUCGUAAAACUCUGUUAUUAGGGAAGAACAAAUGUGUAAGUAACUAUGCACGUCUUGACGGUACCUAAUCAGAAAGCCACGGCUAAUUACGUG
Molecule: ribosomal RNA, 497 nt
Filed under: uncultured bacterium
Lineage: Bacteria
Description: partial 16S ribosomal RNA
Rfam family: Bacterial small subunit ribosomal RNA
Source: RNAcentral